RNAcentral lists this ribosomal RNA (460 nucleotides) under uncultured bacterium. RNAcentral describes it as "partial 16S ribosomal RNA". It matches the Rfam family "Bacterial small subunit ribosomal RNA", at positions 338 to 795 of the family's 1533-position model. The record is from RNAcentral.
CCUACGGGAGACAGCAGUGAGGAAUAUUGGUCAAUGGGCGGGAGCCUGAACCAGCCAAGUCGCGUGAGGGAAGACGGUCCUAUGGAUUGUAAACCUCUUUAGGCGGGGAGCAAUGCCGGGCACGCGUGCCCGGAGGGAGAGUACCCGCAGAAUAAGCAUCGGCUAACUCCGUGCCAGCAGCCGCGGUAAUACGGAGGAUGCGAGCGUUAUCCGGAUGUAUUGGGGUUAAAGGGUGCGUAGGCGGAUUUUUAAGUCAGCGGUAAAAUGUCCGGGCUCAACCCGGGCCGGCCGUUGAAACUGGGGAUCUUGAGUGGGCGAGAAGUAUGCGGAAUGCGUGGUGUAGCGGUGAAAUGCAUAGAUAUCACGAAGAACUCCGAUUGCGAAGGCAGCAUACCGGCGCCCGACUGACGCUGAGGCACGAAAGCGUGGGGAUCGAACAGGAUUAGAUACCCCUGUAGUC